This 1280-nucleotide small RNA is filed under the name Pan troglodytes (chimpanzee). RNAcentral describes it as "retained intron". Lineage: Eukaryota; Metazoa; Chordata; Mammalia; Primates; Hominidae. The record is from RNAcentral.
AUUGCCCCUGUAACCUGUCAAAGAAGAGCUAAGGGAGCUUUCGAGGUUGGCUUCUUGGAGGCUGCUUUCUCCUUUACUUGGAAGGCUUCGCUAGUGAUGGACCCAUACGUGAUUCAGAUGAGCAGCAAAGGCAACCUCCCCUCAAUUCUGGACGUGCAUGUCAACGUUGGUGGGAGAAGCUCUGUGCCGGGAAAAAUGAAAGGCAGAAAGGCCAGGUGGUCUGUGAGGCCCUCAGACAUGGCCAAGAAAACUUUCAACCCCAUCCGAGCCAUUGUGGACAACAUGAAGGUGAAACCAAAUCCAAACAAAACCAUGAUUUCCCUGUCCAUUGGGGACCCUACUGUGUUUGGAAACCUGCCUACAGACCCUGAAGUUACCCAGGCAAUGAAAGAUGCUCUAGACUCGGGCAAAUAUAAUGGCUAUGCCCCAUCCAUCGGUAAGCUCCUCCUGCGACUCCAUACCUGGUGACUGCCAAAUCUUUAGUGCUCUUAUAACAGGACUAAAUGUCUAGCAAUCCUCUUCACUUUCCUGAUGCACAAUUCCUAAGGAGAGGCUAAGAUUACAUGGUCCUUUGGAUUUGGGAACUGGGUCUCGGGAUGCUUAAAUACAAGGCAUCAAGGUCCAACUUCUUUCCUGGCUUUCUUUGACAUAUGGGCACUUCCCCUCUAGGCUCCCAAACAUACUUAUUUGUCAAGUAAAGCUCCUAUCCUAUCAUUACUAAUUCUAAUCUGAAGGCCUUGAGUCUGGCAGGAGCUUUGUGUUUGCUGAGCCUCUAGGUCCUAAAUGGAUUUACUUAUUGCUCUGUGUAUAUAGCUCCUUUGCUUCAUUUCUGCUUCUCUAUGUAUUGAAGGCCUAUUGUCAUUAUGGUCCUGAGCACAUUGAAAUGCAAUUGUUACCAUUUAUGACUAACGGGUUUAAACAAACAAAUAAACAAACACCCAAGAACAUCAAAAAAUGGGCUGUCAAACUGAAGGAUAGAAGGUUGUUUCUGAUAGAUUGAAAUUACUCCUUUUUAGGUUUCUCUCCAUCUAUUAAAAAUUUCUACCCUGAAUAUUUUGGUAAAGUACAUGAUUCCUUGACUUUCAGUAUUGAACAUUUUUUUUCCUUAUGUGUACAUAGAAACACAUUCUUAAUGCAGAAUAAAACCCCAGUUUCAUGAUAAAAUCAAAUUUUAAAAACACUUUAAAGAGUUAUAUCGGGGACUUCGUGGUUUUUCGGUUGAUUACUUACAUUUUAUAAAGUUUCAUACAACAAAAAUGAAAACAAAAUCAAGACCAAAA